Molecule: small RNA, 85 nt
Filed under: Salmonella enterica
Lineage: Bacteria; Pseudomonadati; Pseudomonadota; Gammaproteobacteria; Enterobacterales; Enterobacteriaceae
Also listed under: 1 other name
Description: partial RtT sRNA
Rfam family: RtT RNA
About the family: This family represents a bacterial cis-regulatory element known as RtT RNA. The exact function of RtT is unknown although it is thought that it may be involved in changing the cellular response in relation to amino acid starvation.
Source: RNAcentral
AUAUCUCUCUGUACGGGAAGGAUGAGAAGCUUCGACCAAGGUUCGAUUCGAGCGUCAGCGAGAAAGCGUUGCCGCAGGCAACGAC